CCUACGGGAGGCAGCAGUGGGGAAUAUUGCACAAUGGGGGAAACCCUGAUGCAGCGACGCCGCGUGAGUGAAGAAGUAUUUCGUUACGUAAAGCUCUAUCAGCAGGGAAGAAAAUAACGGUGCCUUACUAAGAAGCCCCGGCUAACUACGCGCCAGCAGCCGCGGUAAUACGUAGGGGGCAAGCUUUAUCCUGAUUUACUGGGUGGAAAGGGAGCUUAGACGGCAGCGCAAGUCUGGAGUGAAAUCCCAUGGCUUAACCAUGGAACUGCUUUGGAAACGGUGCAGCGAGAGUGCAGGAGAGGUAAGCGGAAUGACUAGUGUAGCGGUGAAAUGCGUAGAUAUUAGGAGGAACACUAGUGGCGAAGGCGGCUUACUGGACUGUAACUGACGUUGAGGCUCGAAAGCGUGGGGAGCAAACAGGAGUAGAUACCCUUGUAGUC
This 440-nucleotide ribosomal RNA is filed under the name uncultured bacterium. RNAcentral's name for it is "partial 16S ribosomal RNA". It matches the Rfam family "Bacterial small subunit ribosomal RNA", at positions 338 to 795 of the family's 1533-position model. The record is from RNAcentral.